ACAUGUGAAGCUUUCUUGCCAAUCUUCAUUGAACUCACACUUCAAAAGUCAUGGUUUUCUCUUUGUUUUAUUGUAAUUUUCUGUUUUAUUAUAAAGAAGAUUGCAGAAAAGAGGCAGAAUAGGAGAGCUGAAAGACAAAAAAAGAGUAUCUAAACAACAGAGGACACAUACUGGAAUCUCUGGAGCUCAUCCCUUCAGAGGGCCCUUCCCAGAAGAACUGUAUCUCCACUUCCUCGGUUCUCUGGAAUAAAUUACAACCUUAUGACUCAUGAGUCCAAACAGGACAGUCUUUACGUCUACCCAUCUUAUGACUGAUGUGGCUCUCAAGGAACAAUAAAACCUAAGCAAAUUAUGGGAACAAGCAUUUAUCAACCACGCAAAUGAAGCCAUUCUUUGUAUGUAUUAUGCAUCUCAAUCUCCAUAUAUGGUUAUCAACGUAAUAAUUCAAGUAAAGAGUUUUUCUACACCAGGAGUUCCAAAAUCAAGCUACAUUCAAAGAGAGAAACAACACAUUGGAUACUCAAGUUAUGAACCGUGAGAAGAGUCAGAAAUUCCUUAUAGGAUAGAACAUGUGCAAUUGAAAUCUAAUAUUAAGUUUUCUGUGGAAAAACACAUAUAUGUGUACUAUAUGGCUAUCUGAUCAUUUUAAAAACAUACUCAGAAUACUUUAAUAAAACACUGGUACUCAGAGUGGAGCAAGAUGGUGGAAUAGAAGGCUCCACCAAUCGCUGCACAUUACCCCCAGCAAGGACACCAAUUUAACAACUAUCUACACAGAAAAAAACACCCAUAUAAGAACCGAAAUUCAGGUGAGCCCUCAUAGUACCUGGUUUUUAACUCCAUGUUACUGAAAGAAAUACUGAAGAGAUAGAAAAAAAAAAAAAAA
This is a long non-coding RNA of Homo sapiens (human), 886 nucleotides long. The record is from Ensembl. Lineage: Eukaryota; Metazoa; Chordata; Mammalia; Primates; Hominidae.